UACGUAGGGAGCAAGCGUUAUCCGGAUUUACUGGGUGUAAAGGGCGCGUAGGCGGGUAUGCAAGUCAGAUGUGAAAUUUAUGGGCUCAACCCAUAGCGUGCAUUUGAAACUGUGUAUCUUGAGUGAUGGAGAGGUAAGUGGAAUUCCUAGUGUAGCGGUGGAAUGCGUAGAUAUUAGGAGGAACACCAGUGGCGAAGGCGACUUACUAGACAUUAACUGACGCUGAGGCGCGAAAGCGUGGGGAGCAAACAGGAUUAGAUACC
RNAcentral lists this ribosomal RNA (263 nucleotides) under uncultured bacterium. Its description in RNAcentral is "partial 16S ribosomal RNA". It matches the Rfam family "Bacterial small subunit ribosomal RNA", at positions 524 to 786 of the family's 1533-position model. The record is from RNAcentral.